Non-coding RNA from Coemansia sp. RSA 2050, 86 nucleotides. Lineage: Eukaryota; Fungi; Kickxellomycota; Kickxellomycetes; Kickxellales; Kickxellaceae. The record is from the annotation of a GenBank genome assembly.
GGGGAUGUAGCUCAGUGGUAGAGUGUUCGCUUUGCAGGACUGUAAAAAAAUGCGAAAUGCCCGGGGAUCGAAACCCCGCUUCUCCA